AGGUGUGGCAGGAGAAACAUGAGCCAACAGCGUGGAAGGUGUCAAAAGAGGAAAGUCAAGAAUGUAGGCGGUGGCGCCAAAUGUUCACAGAGGACGGAAAGGAAGCCACGCACUUGUGCAAUAACUAGGUGUCACUGCCUUCCUCAGGAGCUACUUGGACUCAGCAUCUGGAUGGCCUGUCAGUGCGACCUUUAUCUGUCUGGGUGAGAUGGCCUCAGAAGGCCAAGAAACGCAAGCUCUUCGAGAUGGCCGUGAGCACAAGCGUGAAUGGAACUGGUGGGAAGUGUCUAAACAUCGUCUGGAGAAGUAUCACUAGAACGAAG
This is a long non-coding RNA of Ailuropoda melanoleuca (giant panda), 323 nucleotides long. RefSeq lists it as uncharacterized. The record is from RefSeq and is a predicted model, not a curated record. The transcript is spliced from 3 exons. NCBI's taxonomy places the organism in Eukaryota, Metazoa, Chordata, Mammalia, Carnivora, Ursidae.